This 468-nucleotide ribosomal RNA is filed under the name uncultured bacterium. Its description in RNAcentral is "partial 16S ribosomal RNA". It matches the Rfam family "Bacterial small subunit ribosomal RNA", at positions 28 to 507 of the family's 1533-position model. The record is from RNAcentral.
GACGAACGCUGGCGGCGUGCUUAACACAUGCAAGUCGAACGGAAAGGCCCUGCUUUUGUGGGGUGCUCGAGUGGCGAACGGGCGAGUAACAAGUGAGUAAGCUGCCUUUGACUUUGGGAUAACUUCAGGAAACUGGGGCUAAUACAGGAUAGGAGCUCCUGUUGCAUGGUGGGGGUUGGAAAGUUUCGGCGGUUGGGGAUGGACUCGCGGCUUAUCAGCUUGUUGGUGGGGUAGUGGCUUACCAGGGCUUUGACGGGUAGCCGGCCUGAGAGGGUGACCGGCCACAUUGGAACUAAGAUACGGCACAGACUCCUGCGGGAGGCAGCAGUGGGGAAUAUUGCACAAUGGACGGAAGCCUGAUGCAGCAACGCCGCGUGCGGGAUGACGGCCUUCGGGUUGUGAACCGCAUUCGCCUGUGACGAAGCGUGAGUGACGGUAAUGGGUGAAGAAGCACCGGCUAACUACGUG